This 465-nucleotide ribosomal RNA is filed under the name uncultured Bacteroidales bacterium. RNAcentral describes it as "bacterial SSU rRNA". It matches the Rfam family "Bacterial small subunit ribosomal RNA", at positions 337 to 798 of the family's 1533-position model. Lineage: Bacteria; Pseudomonadati; Bacteroidota; Bacteroidia; Bacteroidales. The record is from RNAcentral.
UCCUACGGGAGGCAGCAGUAAGGAAUAUUGGGCAAUGGACGCAAGUCUGACCCAGCCAUGCCGCGUGAAGGAUGAAGGCCCUAUGGGUUGUAAACUUCUUUUAUACGGGAAAAAACCGCCGGUCGUGUAUCGGUGCUGAUGGUACCGUAAGAAUAAGCAUCGGCUAACUCCGUGCCAGCAGCCGCGGUAAUACGGAGGAUGCAAGCGUUAUCCGGAUUCAUUGGGUUUAAAGGGUGCGCAGGCGGAUUAAUAAGUCAGUGGUGAAAUCCUACGGCUCAACUGUAGAACUGCCAUUGAUACUGUUAGUCUUGAGUAUUGUUGAGGUAGGCGGAAUGUGUCAUGUAGCGGUGAAAUGCUUAGAUAUGACACAGAACACCAAUCGCGAAGGCAGCUUACCAAGCAAUAACUGACGCUCAUGCACGAAAGCGUGGGGAUCAAACAGGAUUAGAUACCCUAGUAGUCCAA